Molecule: ribosomal RNA, 1007 nt
Filed under: Lophodermium arundinaceum
Lineage: Eukaryota; Fungi; Ascomycota; Leotiomycetes; Rhytismatales; Rhytismataceae
Description: eukaryotic LSU rRNA
Rfam family: Eukaryotic large subunit ribosomal RNA
Source: RNAcentral
CAGGGAUUGCCUCAGUAACGGCGAGUGAAGCGGCAACAGCUCAAAUUUGAAAGCUGGCCCCCUCGGGGCCCGCGUUGUAAUUUGUAGAGGAUGCUUCGGGCGCGGCGCCGGUCUAAGUUCUUUGGAACAAGACGUCAUGGAGGGUGAGAAUCCCGUAUGUGACUGGUGGCCUGUGCCCAUGUGAAGCUCCUUCGACGAGUCGAGUUGUUUGGGAAUGCAGCUCAAAAUGGGAGGUGUAUUUCUUCUAAAGCUAAAUAUUGGCCAGAGACCGAUAGCGCACAAGUAGAGUGAUCGAAAGAUGAAAAGCACUUUGGAAAGAGAGUUAAACAGUACGUGAAAUUGUUGAAAGGGAAGCGCUUGCAAUCAGACUUGCGCGGCGUUGAUCAGCCUGGGUUCUCCCGGGUGCACUCGGCGCCGCUCAGGCCAGCAUCAGUUUCGGCGGUGGGAUAAAGGUCCAGGGAAUGUGGGUCGCCUCGGCGAUCGUUAUAGCCCUGGGCGCAAUGCCGCCUGCCGGGACUGAGGACCGCGCUUCGGCUAGGAUGCUGGCGUAAUGGUUGUAAGCGACCCGUCUUGAAACACGGACCAAGGAGUCUAACAUUUGUGCGAGUGUUUGGGUAUCAAACCCAUACGCGUAAUGAAAGUGAACGGAGGUGAGAACCCUUAAGGGCGCAUCAUCGACCGAUCCUGAUGUCUUCGGAUGGAUUUGAGUAAGAGCACAGACGCUAGGACCCGAAAGAUGUGCGAACUAUACUUGAAUAGGGUGAAGCCAGGGGAAACCCUGGUGGAGGCUCGCAGAGGUUCUGACGUGCAAAUCGAUCUUCAAAUUUGGGUAUAGGGGCGAAAGACUAAUCGAGCCAUCUAGUAGCUGGUUCACGCCGAAGUUUCCCUCAGGAUAGCAGUGUUGUAUUCAGUUUUAUGAGGUAAAGCGAAUGAUUAGAGGCCUUGGGGUUGAAACAACCUUAACCUAUUCUCAAACUUUAAAUAUGUAAGAAGUCCUUGUUGCUUAA